Molecule: long non-coding RNA, 9997 nt
Filed under: Sarcophilus harrisii (Tasmanian devil)
Lineage: Eukaryota; Metazoa; Chordata; Mammalia; Dasyuromorphia; Dasyuridae
Description: lncRNA (ENSSHAG00000028937.1)
Source: RNAcentral
CAGAAAACAAACAUAACAAAGCAGUUGAUCAUCAAGGAUGAACACUGGUUGUUCUCCCUCCCCCUUUCUGUGUAUUCAUAACACCCAGAUAGUACAGCACCACCCAAAUAAAUUCUGGCCAGGGUCAUCAUUCAGUUAUACGUUUUAUUCUCUAAUAGGUACAAUACUAAAAUAAACACAAAUUAAAAAAAAGUUUUAUUAAAACAAAACUGUACAAAAAAGCAGUAUAUACUACAUUUUAAUUACAGAACAGUCUACUGUCCAAAAGGCACUAAUCCAGAAUAGGAGAUACAAUGAUACAGGACUCAUUGGAACUAUUUUAAUCAAUACAAUAGAGCACUUGUUUCCUUGUUCAUUCACAUCUAGAAACAAGGGCUUUUGCUACAGUCAUUACACAUUGUUAUAAAUAUGAGUCCUACAGGUGAAGGUGCAGUAUCACUCUCCCUAGAGCAGAUUAACGCUUACAGGGGUCACUGGGGAGUUUUUUGGUGUGGAUGGAAUUGAGGAGUGGGAUUAUUAGCCUGGCCCCUUUUCUCUGGGGUGGGAGUAUCCGGGCCCAGAGUGGCAGGACACUUUCAUGCUUUCAAAUGAAGGCUGGGAGGGGCUUUUGGUGGCAUCUGCCUUUGCUCUGAACCUGGACUUUUGGAUUUCUCUGGUAGUUCUUCCUGCCAUUUCAACUACCUCAUGUACUUUAGUGUGGGAAACUUUUGGUGCCUUUCUCUACUCCCCAGAUUUCAAGAGAUUUGCAGCACGGUUUUUUAGGAUGACUAAUAUCACCUGCUCAGCCUGAGUUGUCUUUUUGGUAUCCAGAUAGGAAAAGGAAGUGAAAUUCUGCAAAGAAAACUGUGGUCCCUUAGCAGACCAGGGUGCCCAAGCAAGGGGCCUGGGGCACCUUCUUUUGGCGGCUGACCUGCUGCUGCCGAUCCAGAGCAUGGGUGAUGUCCUAUCUCCCGUGCCUGGCGGGUGCCCCAGCCCACAUGAGUUGCAAAGGCUCAUGACCCUUUUGUUCUCUUGGGGUCGGUAUGACAGACUCCUGCUUCAGAGGCGUUUUGAGGUGCUGCUUAUUCUAGGUCAAGUUUGUCCAUAGCCAAUCACAAAGCGGCUGGGACUAGUUGGUUGGGUCCUCAUUCUAGUUCUGCAAUGAGGAAUUAUACAUUACAUAAGCAACUUUUGUUCAACAAAUGGACCUUCCAGAAACUGAGCUUGGUCAAAGGGGGCCACUGACUUCGUUUUUGUGACCUCAGUAACUCUCUAAACCCCAAGUUUCAUUCUGUAAAGGCCUCUGGCCCUAAGGAGGAGAGAUACUGCAGCUUUCAAAACAGUGUCAUACACAUAGAAGACGAAGACAGGCAUCUGGAUGUUAACAAAAAUAAGUAACAAAGAAAUAUGAUUAAACCAAAUCUCUUCUCACAUCAUCCUAUACUACAUCCUCCUUCUGCUUAGCAGAAAAUUGUACGUACACAAAAAUACAAAUACACAAUUUUGUAGAACAGUCUGAUUUUAAUAUAUUUAUAUAUAUUUAUAUUUAUAUGAGUGGCAGGUUAGUUCAUUAUAUAGAGCUUUUUGCACUUUUGGCUCAUAUGCAACAAGGCUUAUAAAUUCAGCUUUAGCUUUCAUUCAGGUUUUAUAGCUUUUGAACAAUUGUUUUCACAUUUAAAGCAGCAUCCAAUUUGCAAUAGGAGUUUGUGGUGGUUAUAGGAAAGAUCAGGUCAAGAGGUUAUUUAAGGGAAAGGGGGAGAUACCAGGGUAGGGAAGAUAUACAUUCCAGUGUGUGUGGUAAUGUAAAAAGGAUUGUAUGUGUGGACUAGAGCAUACCAUGUUGACCCCUUGAGGUAGACUGAACACCUUACAGCAGACUCAGACACAGGUGUGAUUUGCCCUCAGGGACACAUGGUGUACAAGAUAUGGAGAACAAAGACUAGGAGACUCCCAAAUGGAAACACAAAGACAGAAAACACACAAAUGGCCAAGGCAGGGGGAAGGAGGGAAUUUUUUCCCCCUCGACCCUUCUGGCAAUGACCCAACACAGGUCAUCCUAGACUGUUUUGGUGAAUGCAAAAUACUUUCAGGCAAUCGAUCCUCAGUCAUUGGGCCUACGGUGUCUCAUCUGAUUACAAUCAUUACAUUGGCUUUCCAUUUUCUAAUUUGCUGUGCCAGCUAGUUCCUACCCCUACUAUGAGACAUUAAAACAAAGCCGCACAUCUUUCUGCAACGAAAAUUCCCUUCCCCCUCUGCUCUUUACGGAGUGUCCAAGUCCAGUUAAGUGAUUUUCCUUCUUCUAAUGGCAUUUCCUUGUCAUUUCUCCCUUAUUCCCCACAUUCCCACUAAUGUCCAGGUCUUGUCAGUUACAACCGUCAGUUACAACUGACAAGCCACUUAGUAAAACCGAUAAGAAUAGCACCUGGAGACCGGACGACAAGGCCCUGACAAGUCAUCCUGGCUGGCUUCAGGGGCCCAAGGAUGGCCUUGUCUUUCUUAUCACAAUGCUAUUUCUCCUCUUUCAUCAUUUCUUUAGCAGCCUGCCAGGUGACCUUCCAUCCAAAGCAGAAAUUCCCCCUGCCAUAUUGCCUUUAUUUAUCAACUUGGUGGUGUCCUAUGUUUGUAAGUGAUCGCACUGUCAAAGCAGAAAUGCUAAGUAAUGAAAAUUGGUGCCUGGACAACAGUCAUUGCUUUAAAAAACAAACACAAAUUUUUAAAGGAUUUGAAUCAAGUGCAAUCACAAAAAAUACCUGUCAUGUUCACCAUGUGAUAAAGGCCCCUUUACUUAAAUCAAAUUUAAAAUAUCUUUUUAGACACUUUACACACACCUUUUGAAGAUGUGAUUUUGAUGUGAAGACCCUGCCAAUGGCUGUAUUUUGAGGACCACGAUCCAUAGAACCUUGACACUGGAAGAACCUCCAAGAGCACUCAGCCCAACCAGUACCUGAACAGGAAUCCCCUCUACAAUAUUCCCACCAAAUGGUUGUCUAGACUCAGCUUUGAGGACUCAUUACCUCCUGAGCUAGCUUAUCCUACUUUUGGAUAACUCCAGUUGUUGGCAAGUUUUUUCUUACAUGGAGCCAAACUCUGACUCUCUUCUUCAAAUCUAGAUAGAGAGGAUGAAACAAGACAGUGAAGAUUCUAGUAGCUAACAAUUAUAAAUGAAUCAUGUUUAAUCAUCACAGUUACAUGGAAAUUUAUCCUCUUAGAUUAGCGCUGUUCUGACUGCUGUCAAAAGAUAGAGACUCCACUCUGCUCUGGAGACGGUAUGAAUCUACCUGAUUGGAGGGCUAUUGGGAUUUAAAUGAGCAAUACAAGACUCCUUAAAAGUUCUCAAUGAAUCAAGACCAUGACCACAUGAAUGAAAGAAACAGCCAAACAACGACAAACAAAGCCAGCAUCAAGAAGCAAUGAAGUUUUUUCUCCUGCUGGCUAGACCUUGAAGUUGUUCUGCCCGCAGAACGCCAGUGACAUUGGGUGGAGAGGUACUUUCCCUCCACCUGCCCAGGAGGGCUGUGCAUGGGCCAGGGAAGGAGAAAGGGCCAAGGGGGAGAGGGGAGAGUCAGGCCUGAUUCUCUGGUGGGCUCCAGAGUUAUGUCACUUGCUUAGGCACUUAAAAAAAAACCCAACAACAAAUAAAAAAUAUAUCCUUUAAAGGUACUGAACACUGAUCUUGGUUAUGAUCAUGGAAAGGACAGGGAGCCCAUGGGGAAUUAGACAAGGCUAUGGGCUCUUCCAGGGGAGACAACUAUGAUGUCCUUGGCAUCUUUCAAUGAAGGCAUAUUUCCAACUCCAAUGGCUUUCUUGCAUGCCUCAGAGACCCAGAAGAGAAAAAUACUCUAUUGACUCAGGUGAUAGGUCCAGAACUCUUUCAUAAUUGAUGAUUCUCACUGGGUCUUUUUUUAGGUAGCUUACUUCUAGCCAUAAUGGGAACUGCAUUAAGAAGCAGGAUGGGCUCAAGAGUGGAAUUAGGAACGAUCCAAUCUGGAACACUAGAAGAAUCAUUCAUGAGAAUCAGGGGUGUAAAAUGGGAUAACAUGGGGCAUCAUUAGCAAAGAAAAUGACCUUUCAUGCAAUCCAGUAAAAGUAAAUAUGGUGCUGAAGUAAAGUCAUGAGAAAGUUCCCACAUUUUGAAAAUACAACUCUCCUGAAAGAAAAUUAUUUUUGGUACACUAAUGUGCAUUACUAGUAGCACAAAGAAGCAAUACAUGAGUUUGCUGAUACUAGCACACUAAAAUCCAGGUUUCCUGACCAAAUGGUGCUGCUUAUUUGGAAGUACAAAAAGCAGUAUGCUGUCUAUCUCUUUCUUGUGCGCGCACAUGCACGUGCGCGCACACACACACACACACACACACACACACACACGUUCUCCUCCCAUCCCCACUUAAUCUGGUAUAUGAACAAAAAAGUUCAAUGUAAUGUCAAACAGCUAUUGUUUACAUGAAUAAAGCAUUGGUCUAGUCUUGUUGUUCGGGCUAAUAGCAUAAGUGAUGAUAAAGUGGAAAAAUGGCCCUCCCUAGUUCCUAGUGGGCUCUAGAUCCUCAAAGAAAAAGUAAAGUGUUUUAGUGAUUCAAGGAAGUCACAAGAUCACUACAAUUUAUGAUAUGACCUGGAGAGAGCUGAUUGGGAAUUGAAGCAGUUAUAAAGCAAAAAAUUAAAUGGGCUGGGGUUGUCAUCUCUUUUAAAUGUCUUUUUAUGGAAUCCAUUUGUAACUUCUUGAUGAAGGUGUGUAAAUGGAAGAAAGGAGAGAAUUUCUCUCUCUUGAAAUUCCUUGCUACCUUAGACUGUUCAAGGAAUGGGGCUCUAUGUAGAAAAUGAAAGAGGAUUUAUUUUCAUUAUUUGUAGUUUGGGUUUUUUAGUGAGAAAACUGUCCAAAUACCACUAAUGGUAAGAAUGAUCUAUUAAGUGUUUUGGGACAUCUCUACACCUGUCCCUCUACUUAGCACUGGAUCCAGUCAGGAACUAUUCCCAACACUGCAAACAGUUAGUUGACGGUUUCCAUCAGUCAACGCAAAAGCUCCUCAAAGGGUAUUCAAUUUCUUGGAAUUCAAAAAAGGAAUUAAGAUUUAACUGACUUGGAGAGAAAGACAGUUAAAAGGAUCACAAACUAGCUAGCUAAAAACUAAGUACUUAUGUUCCUGAGAGGGAAGGAAAUCCAUCAGGGAGAAGGGAGAUGGCAAGAAAUAUUCAUGUACCAUCACAAAAUUAGAUAAUUCAUAAUUAAGACUUAGAGGUAAAUUAGUACAACCUUUGAACUAGUAUGUAAAUCCUUCUAAAACUUCCCUGAUAGAUGAUCAAGUCACACCUGAACAUGUCAAAUGACACUUCUAAGUCAUCUCAUUCUAAUAUUGCUCUAAUUGUUCAAUAGUUUUUUUUUUAUUAUUAUGUUGAGCAAGAAUUACUUUACUGUGACUUUUUACUCACUAACCUACAAGAAUGAGAAUAAAAAGGUAUGUGUAAUACAAACAAGGGUACAUAUAAUACAAAUAAAAGGUAAGCAAGUUUAAGGAAACUUUUAGUGAGAAAGGAAUAAAUAAUUUUACUUACUAGCUCUAACUAGGAAGAACCAAGAAUCAAAAUUUUAUGUUUGGGACUAAAAAUCAUUAGAAUGUCAAUGGAAGCCAGUUGCUACAAAGAAUGUUGAUCUGUUCAUUCUUCAUGAUUUUAUAUUUUAAAAAAAAUCUUCUUGGGAUAUAAUGCCAGUUUUUGCCCUAAUUCUGAUAUCUUGGGGAGUGGGGAAAGGAAUGUCAACAGGAAUAUGUGGCAAAGAUUUAGAUAUCACUAAUGUGGCAUAUGGAAAAUCUUAAGAACAUUAAAAUAGAGGAAUGAAGAAGUAACUCAUUUCCAGCUCAAGUCCUUUCUUGUGUGUUACAUUCCUUUAAUUAAGCACAUCUUUACUUAUAAUCACUAGAGUAUCAGAUCACAUUGGAAGGUUUUAACUGUAGUACCAAUUCUAUUUCCUUUGAACACUAAAGAGAUAAUCAGGGUUGUCUCACAAAUCAUAGAAUUAUUCUCCUUGGUUCAGAUUUCAGAAAACCUAAUCUUUUGACAUGCUCUAAAUGCUAAUGGAGAUACUUAAAUACUUGCUUCUCUCUCCAAAUCUGGGAAAAACUAGAAAACAAUGCCUCCUCUUAGUGGUCAUAAAACCAUGCUGACUCCAAAUGUCAGAAAGAGAUGAACGAUUCUGAGCACAAGUUCCUCAUGUUUCUUUGGAAAAAAAUAAAACAAAAGCCCCAAAGAUUAUAGAUAUGUCUCAAAACAGAUGCUAUCCAACUCUUUAAAAUAUGGGAGCUUCAUGUAAGAAGCCUCUAAGGGAAUGUAUAGUCUGACCCAUCCAAACUAUUAUAUCUGAUUAGUGUUCUAAGAAUAUGGUUAGGCUGAACAAGCAAAUGAAUAACAGCCUCCAUAUAAUUUUACUUUAAACCUCAAUAUUCCCAUAAAUUAGAAUUUCAUCCAGAGAUUUUUAGGCUAAAUGAGAAUAUUUCCUCUCUAAUGUAAUGAGAAAGAAAAGUUUGUUAAAGAGGAAGCAACAAGAUCCAUCAUAGCUGAGGAUGUUUUAUUUUCUCUAAGAGCUGGCACAGUAACUGUUUGGCCAUCAGAGGUAAAGUAUAUAAGGUCUUAUCUACUCAAUAAAAUCAUAAAAAAUAUAUUGGAAUCAACCAGUCACUUUCUAAACAAAGAUUGAAUAUAAGCCUUUAUGAAAAUUAAAUGGGACCUUGGAGGCAUAGAGAAGACCCUUAAACUGGCCCCUCAUCAGUACCUUGUCAUCACCCAAAUCCUCUCGAGGUAGAAGUUUAUUCCUUCAAGCCUUAGAGCAAAGCCAAAAUGCAAAGAUCCUUGGGAGGACAAUACUCUGUAAGUUAUUAGCCAACAUUUCUAUUUCAGGAAAAGGAUAGGAUUUCAAAGUGGGUUUUGGAGGAGGUGUAAAGAGAACAUGUACAGACUAGAUAUCUGAGACUGGCAGAGAAGGGUCUAGCUUCACUCUUUUGCCCAUGGCUGUUCGGUCUUGUCAGAGAUAGAGGUUUCUGGUAGAUUCUGGCAUCAUCAAGGGGUGCUAAACUUCAUCGGAUAAAGGCAUUUUAAAGCAACUGGCAAACCAAUACUAUAAGAAUAGAGAAACCAAUUAUUUGGGAGAGGAUACUUUACUAAUAGUGUCAAAAGAUACUUUAAUGAAAAUCUGAUGGACAAGGGAUGGCUCAGAGGUUAUUUUUGUACCUUUCCUAGCACAAGGCCAUUACCCCUGAUUCUAAUCUAAGAUUUAGCAAAAAGUAUGGUGAACACUGUGGCUUUCAAAGGUUGUGAUACAUUAAUUCCAGGUAAUACUUUUAAGAAAAGAAAAGAAGUGGUAUCCUGAAAUAGAAAAAGAAGGUUGAAAAUUUCUUCUGUAGGAAAGGAAGAUUCAAAUAUAAAAAGUUAAGGACCCACAAUUAGACAUCAGAAAUUUAUUCUAUUCAAAAAGAGAAACAAAUUGUAUUCCUUCUGUAUGCUAACUAAUAAAACAUUUUUAUGUAACUUACAUUAAAAUCUGUAGAGUGGCUCUACAUGACUUAAGUUGUAUAUGUGAUUUACGUCUCUUAGAAGAGAUAUUUUAUUUAAUGAAUGAGUCAAUUGUUAAUAAAUAAUAUUUGAUGAUGACAAAUAUAAAAUUAGCUGGCCUUGGAGCAUAAUUUAGAAGUUCUGAAACUGGGAUUUUUAUCAAGAUGGAAACUACUUUAUGCCAAAUAAACAUAAGGCCCCAGCAAAAAGUAACUGGUAAGGUCUUAUGUGUGGCUGUGGCUGCCUACUAGUGAUUUAUCUAGGGGUCCGGCUAUGGAUUCUGCUUAUUCAAGUUAUAAUUAAUAUAUAUAUAUAUGUAUAUAUAGUUAUGAUAUAUAAUUAACAAACAAUUAUGAAGUGACUAGAGUUGAAAUUAAAAAACGAAUAAUUUGCAAAUAAUCCUAAGAGGUGAAUCGGGAAUUAUAAAGCAAAGAUACUCAUUUUGGCUGAAGGAAAAUGAAAAUGAAAUCCUCCUCUUUUAAACAAAGAGUAACAUGCAUACCAUGUCAUUAUUUGAGUUGACCGAAUUGCUAUUCUAAGUGUUCCUGAGAACAUUGGCACUAAAACAGAAGUAGGGAAUGAGAAAUCUGCUAUUUUCAGUCCCACAAAGGACAGAAAUCCUUUUAAUUAUGACCAUGCCAAUCUACAUCUUGCUAAAACAGCUAAUUACAUGUCAAAAGGACACCCAGUUAUUCAUAACAAUUAUCGUAUUUUUAUGUAUUCCUUCUACCCAACCAAUUACCAUGGUUACAGUUUGAAAAGACUUGGUCAAACUUUCUUCUGAUCACACAUCAAUAUGAACUGAAGAAUAAAUUAGGGCAUCAUCCAUCCGCUAUUAUUUUGAAAAGGGCAAGAAAAUGAAAAUUUUAAAAAAGGAGAGUGUACUCCAAGAUGUAAGAACAAUCUUGGUGGCAUACAUGUACACACACAUCCACGCACACACGUGUACACACAUACAAUCAAAAUAAUUUUACACUUCUGGCCAGCACUCUUCCAUCCAUUUUUAUCAUCUAAUUGGCACCAUGAUCACCAGAAAAUAGAUAGGAGGUCACUGCAUCAGCCUCCAGUUACCUUUCAAGUUGUUUUAAAUAAAUCAAAGAUCUUGUCAUAAAAAGGAGAUGGGAAAAAUACAGGGUUUCCCCUCUACAAAUGUUUCUCAAAUUUUAUUAGAGAAAGAAGGAAGCUUAAGAGAAUAAAUUAUAUUUAAUUUAGCUUCUUAGUUGACCACAGUUAUAUGGAGUGGCACUUAGAACAGAAGAGAAAAGAUGCAUAGGGCUGCAAACACAUAUCUUUGUCCCAUUUCUAUUAUGCCUACUGAAUAUUUGGAUAAGAAAAAUUAAAAGCAUAAAACACUUGCAUACAUGUAUAGUCUCCCUUGAAACUUUACUAUAUUUGUAGGAUAAAGGAGAAAAAACAAGCCAGAUCACAAGAAGCUGAUUUCUUAGAUCGUGAGCCUUCACACUUCAUUCUCUUCAUUGCUCAAAAAAAAAAAAAAGAAUCAAGAGGUUAAUACAUUGAAAGUGUACUUGUUGAUUUUAUUCCACAAUCUCAAUAAGGCCUCUCUAAUGCUCUAGUUAUAAACUGUAUUUAAAAAAAAAACAAAAAAAAAAAAAAACAACAACCUAAGGAAAUCCUUCUUCUUAAAUGUUAGUCAUCCCUUAUUGAGCUAAAGGAUGAGUAAUGACUGUUGUAUGUUUAUGAAACAUAAGACAUUAUAAUAAAAAAGGAAGGACUCGUGGCUGAACAAGGAUGCUCCCCACCUGAAAGCAACUGUCAAAUUGAGGGAUUAUUGCCAUUCAUAGAUGCCUCCUCUGGAAGACCUUCCAUUCUCAUUAGUGCACAAUACCUUUAAGUGGGAUAAAUCAGGCAUUACUAGAUACUGUAAAUCAAACGAUAGAAAAACUGAGAAAGGGGUUUCGGAUCGUGCAGCUCAGUUUGCCAAAUUCUCUUUGGCGGACAACUGAUCCCCAAAUCCUGAGUAAACAACCUUGCAAUUAAGGAGCAUAAAAAGGAAUGCUUUCCAUGUGCAAUUCCCAGCCAGGCCCCUGCUUUAAAUGCCAUAAACUACACAGUAGGAGCUGGUCAAUGCAUCAAACUUCUGGGAAAACCUGACAAACAAAUCCGGCUCAGUAAAGCUAUAUAUGGAUUUGGCUGGUCUUACUUCAGCCCCAUUGAAGAUAGUAGUCAAAUAUUAACAAUUACAAACAAAAAUAAUCCCAAAUGACACAAAACCCACCAUGCUCUGACACGGUAUCUGGUUCACAUGCAGAGCCCAAGACAUACAACCAACGACAACAUACAAGAUCAGGACCUGCCAAGGACAACUUUGCCACGGAAAGCAGAACCAACAAGUAAAAAUUAUUGCCUAAGAGUUUGUUGAGACUUGUUGCGAAAGGGAAAGACAAGAGACAGAGAGACACAUCUAGAGGAGUGAAAAGAAAGCUAAAUGUGUCCUCUGAAAAAAACAGGAAAGCAGUUUAAG